This is a long non-coding RNA of Ipomoea triloba (trilobed morning glory), 1803 nucleotides long. RefSeq lists it as uncharacterized. NCBI's taxonomy places the organism in Eukaryota, Viridiplantae, Streptophyta, Magnoliopsida, Solanales, Convolvulaceae. The transcript is spliced from 4 exons. The record is from RefSeq and is a predicted model, not a curated record.
AGUAAAUUAUAAUUCUCAAUCUCUCCGCUUCUAACUGAGCCCCUACAAACCCUAGUUCUUCAUCCUCUCCACAACCGUAGCCCUAUUUCCCUGCAAAAAUUUCCAAAUGGCAACAGAAGGUGUGAAACCCAAGCUUACCCGCUGGCCGAUGCGCAGCUCACCGCAACGAUGAUGAACUUGGUUCAACAAGCUGCCAACUAUAAGCAUCUUUAAAAGGUUGCUAAUGAAGCCACUAAGACACUAAACAAAGGAAUUUCAGAGUUUAUUGUUAUGGCAGCCGAUGCUGAACCACUAGAAAUUAUUCUUCAACUUCCACUGCUAUCAGAAGAUAAGGUAAAAUUUGUGCUAUAGGCAAUUUGGCUGUUUAGGAUAAUCCAAAAUAAAAUUGGAAAAAUGUUUGGAAUUAUGUAGACUGAUUGACAAUUAUAUGCUUUAUUAUUAUAAAAGAAUUUACUAGUUGUACUUUCUAGUGUAAAUCAAAUGUAUUUUUUUAUUCAGUGUUCCCAUUUUAGAUAACUUAUUAUGAUUGUUGUUGUUGUUGUUUUGAUGCAUCUUUCAUAGAAUUUCUGAAUCUAAAUCAUGAUCAUUAUUAACUUUUCAUUGCAGUUUAGGUCAAUUUUGUUAGGCUGCUAAUAUUAGUUGCAUUACCUAUAUUUCUGUUAGAGCAGUUGCCAAGGUUGCUCAUGUUGCAACAAUGGAAGCUCAUAUGCUAACAUAGAUCACACAAUACGUUGUUCAUUUUCUUGGUGAAAUGGGAUUAUCAGUUAUUAUUGUAUUGCUGGUUCUGUUUUUGGUUUCUUAGAAAGAAAGCCUGAUGAUUGCAUCCUUAAGAACGGAGAUCUGAAUCGGUACUGUUUGUUGUAGCCUGCCCUCCGGCUGGGCUCCAAAUAGUACUUUAUGACGUCAAAUUGUAAAAGAUUUGAAGAUGAAGGCUUUCCAUACUUUUUUUUGAAUAUGCUAUUACAUUUAAUUAACAAUAUAUCAACAAUAUAUAUAAAUGUUUAUUUAUUUCAAGUUGUCUUACCAUACAAAAAACUUGUAUUUUCAAGUAUUUAGUUGGAUAGUUUAUUGUUUGAAAAUAUCAUCUUUAUAUACAACACUACACUCUUAUAAAGCAUAUAAUUUUUUCUUAGAAUGGCAUUUGUUGUUUUACUGUCAAUUAAUAUGUGUUACAUGAUUUAAAUUUUAGAAGGAUAUUUGAGAUCAAGAAAGACUAGUUUUUCUCUAUACUCUUCUACUGUUUAACAUGCUUUCUUUACUUGUAGUUAUUUUCCUUUGUCAGCAUUUGCUCUGUUUUAGGCCCUUGCUAGUUUUACCUGUGGUUUGGUGCUAAGUUGGCCUAGCAUUUGGGUGCAUAAUUUCAUCAAAGUUACAGUAAAGAGGUUAAGAUGGAAAGGAUCUCAUCACAUUUUUUAUUUGCUGACUUUUGGAAUCUGUAAUUUAUGUCAUAUUCAAAAUGUACCCUAUGUAUUUGUUCCUUCAAAACCAGCUCUAGGUUGAGCUUGUAGCUAUACCCGACCUGUGAUUGCUUGUUCCGAGACAAGCAAUGAAGGAAGUCAGUUGAAAUCUCAAAUACAGCAGCUCAAGGAUGCCCUUGAGAAACUCCAUUCCAGAUUCACUUUGAGGUUUUGACUGACGAAGUUAGCCUGCAAUGCUGCCAUCUCUUCUCCGUUUAAUGAAUUUCAUGUUUGAAAAACAGAGGUAUAUUGAUACAUUCUGGGAGUUGGUUAUUUAGGAAGUUGCUAAUUGGAGAAGUCUUAUUUUAUUAAAAUUAAAUUACAUUGUUUCAAUAUUAAGAAACUA